GAAGGGGGGAGUGAGGGGUGGAGAUCUUGUUAGACCACUUGGAGUUCGGAAAAGAAUUGGCAUAUGAUUUGACAUAUUUGGUCUAUUGAGGGCUUUAUAGUGUUUAGGACUGUAGCACAGAAGAUGUAAUUCAUUUUAAAUGGCCUCUCCUUGGUGCAAUGAAAGUACCUUGUGCUUGCCUUGCUGGGUACUUGAGUCAGGUGUGUCGAGUCAAUGUUGCUGUAAGCUGAUUUUUUUUAUUGAGAUCUUGGCAGAGUAACUUGAUCUUGUAUUUUGUGUUUUAUUUUCAUGCUUAGCCAAAGAGACCAUAGAUUAUGUGUUUUCAGUUCUGAGUAUUCAGGGCAGUCUUUAAUGGGGUUUUCUCUGUAGAAUAUGCCUGUCUGUCUUCAUCUUUUGUCAUAUUUAUCUUUUUGAAAUAUGUGAUUUUGUUGAACUUACAAUGAUGAGAGCUGUUUCUGUGGCUUUUUUGUCAAGAAAUAAUUAAGCAUGCCGACUCUGGAGCUGCUUUGAGGCCAUUUUCUCUGGCCCUUCAGCUGUCCAUUUGUUGGUGGAAGUUUUCUUGAUAUAUCAAACUUUCAGUCUGUGGAUUUUCCGAUUAGCUUCUGUGUAUGCUGAGUGAGUGAGAACCUGACAUUAUUAUGUUGAACUUCCAAUGAUGAGAGCUGUUUCUGUGGCUUUUUUGUGUCUAGAAAUAGUUAAGCAUGUUGACUAUGAAGCUAUUUUGAGGUCAUUUUCUCUGGCCCGUCAGCUGUUUUCCAUUUGUUGGUGGAAGUUUGCAUAAUAUAUCUAAUUUUCAUUCACUGUUUUUGUCCCACUAGCUUCUGCUUGUGCUGAGUGAGUAGGAACCUGACAUUUCUUAUGAAAAUUUAUUAAUGAUUGAUAAGUUCAAUGAGUGCAGAUUUGUUAGUGGAAGUAUGAUGCCUGUGGGGGACGAACAAAUUCUCUUGGCUAAGAAAGUGGCUUUAAGGGAGUUGCCAAAUGAAUCUAAGAACAUAACUAACAAGCCACUUUUGACCUCUCUUCCCAAGGAUUGUGGGAAGGGAUUAACCCAUGAAUCUGGGAAGGUGGUUGGAACCAAGAGGCAGCAACCUGAUGGUCCACCUAGUCCUUCCGGUAAUCUGCCCCAAGUAAAAGUUUCUCCACUUGCAAAUCUGGUGUAUACACGUAGGAAGCUUGAGACUGAACAAGGCAAGAUGGGUGCUUGUGUCUAUAUCGAUCAUGCUGAAUCUCCAGAAUUAAGGAAGCUAAGCAGUAACUGCACAAAAAGGCUUAAUAUGCAGAAAGAACUGAUUCAGGAGCCUAAGGUGGUUUCUUCUUUAUCAUAUGUUUCUGAUGCAAUUACAUCCCCGGCCACAUCGUCUAUGGGGCUAUCAUUUCCCCAUUCACAUGGGAAAUCCAUCUCUAGAUUGGCAGGUCCAGAACCACAAGAUUCGGCCAUUGCUGCUGAGUGUCCUUUUCUUGCCGAUCCUCACAAAGUGCAUAAGGUUGGAAAGACAGGUUCCUUAGGCUGCAGAUGUUCCUAAAGACCUGUGAUCAGUCAUACCAGGAAGAUUAUAUCCAAAUGCUACGAUCUUUAUCUGCCAUUGGCCGGAGUAGGCAUGCUGUUGAAUUGGAGAAAAGAGCCAUACAUCUCUUGUUGGAGGAAGGGAAGGAGUUGCAACGUAUGAAAGCUCUGAAUGUUCUUGGCAAAUCUCAACCAAAUGAUCAUGCAUCCAUUCUAAGUCAGACACCUCUCGCGAGCAGAGCUCCAGAGCGGUAAAUACUUCCCAUUCGAGUGUGAAAGAGAAUGUACACUUAAGGAAUUUUCAUAUCCAUCUACUGUGCAGGAACCUUGUGCAGUUAUUUUAGUUAGAUUACAGCAUGAAGUUUAGAUUAAUGCUUGUUGUUCCAUCAGAUUUUGUAAACUUAAGCCAUGGGUUUGUGUAAGUAACUUGUAGAUGCUUAUUAUCAGAUAAUAAGUACCCUAAUUUCAUUUA
Molecule: RNA transcript, 1976 nt
Organism: Musa acuminata AAA Group (dessert banana)
Lineage: Eukaryota; Viridiplantae; Streptophyta; Magnoliopsida; Zingiberales; Musaceae
Exons: 3
Source: RefSeq, a predicted model, not a curated record